UACGUAGGGGGCGAGCGUUUGUCCGGAGUUACUGGGCGUAAAGCGCACGCAGGCGGUCUGCUAAGUUUGGAGUGACAGUUGGUGGCUUAACUGCCAAAGUGCUUCGAAAACUGACAGACUUGAGGGCUUCAGAGGGACACGGAACUCCGAGUGUAGAGGUGAAAUUCGUAGAUAUUCGGAAGAACACCAGUGGCGAAGGCGACUCACUGGCCCGAUACUGACGCUGAGGCGCCGAAAGCGUGGGGAGCAAACAGG
Molecule: ribosomal RNA, 255 nt
Filed under: uncultured bacterium
Lineage: Bacteria
Description: partial 16S ribosomal RNA
Rfam family: Bacterial small subunit ribosomal RNA
Source: RNAcentral